UGAGAAACACGCGGAAUUAGCGUAUGCAUGCCGAUAAUGAUCUCGGAGCUUCUUCUAAUCCCGGGAGCAUCUUAACCUUGGAUGUGCUUCGGUUCCUAGGUGGCAUUUCAUCUUGUACAUCGACCAAGGGUUGUCUGCACUAUUAUUAGAGGAACCAGAGGAAACUAUAGGCCAGGUUUUCUCACUCUGAUGUUUGGCAUCUUCAAUUUGAGAAGCAUCUUUACAACCUGGAGGUCAAGUUGCUGAUUGUCAGGAAUUCUGAUUAGAAAAUUUCGGGACCGGAGUUUCAUGGUGACCCAUUUCCAGUCAGAAACUAAAAAAUUUCAGACACUUGUGACAUUUAUGUGUGGAAUUUCUAUUCGAAUCGUGCGCCAAUUCAUUAUUUUCAUCACCAAUUCAACUCCAUUGGUUCGUUUCUUCAACUGCAGUGCAAUAAAUUAAGUGCGUUUAAGAAGAAGGAAAAAAAAUUGAAAGGAAAAGAUGCUACGUUUGGAUAAAACUGCGCCGAAGGAGUUAUUUUACUUAUGAAUAAGUUUUUGGGGAUUUUACUAAGAGAUUUAUUCUACUUUCAAAACGUUUUUGAGGAUUCUACUAAGAAAUUCAUUCUUUCAAUACGAUUUUGAAAAUUCUACUGCAAGAUUUAUUCUACUUUCAAAAAAUUUUUCAAAAUCCCACUGAGAGGUUUAUUCUGCUUCCAAGACAAAUUCAAGAAUUCUUUUGAGAUUUUUCUUCAUCUUAUUUACUAGAGAUGUUUGUGGAUAUUAAUGAAAAACUUAUUCUACUUGCGAUGGAUUUUUGAGGAGCCUGCCGAAAGAAUUAUUCAACGAAUACAUUUUCGAAAAUUUUAUUGAGAAACGUGAGAGACUGAUUCUUCCUGUGAUGAAAUUUUGAGUCCUAUAAGAUCUUUCUU
Leptopilina heterotoma is the source of this 910-nucleotide long non-coding RNA. RefSeq lists it as uncharacterized. The record is from RefSeq and is a predicted model, not a curated record. Lineage: Eukaryota; Metazoa; Arthropoda; Insecta; Hymenoptera; Figitidae. The transcript is spliced from 5 exons.